This 429-nucleotide ribosomal RNA is filed under the name uncultured bacterium. RNAcentral's name for it is "bacterial SSU rRNA". It matches the Rfam family "Bacterial small subunit ribosomal RNA", at positions 355 to 776 of the family's 1533-position model. The record is from RNAcentral.
UCGAGGAUCAUUCGCAAUGAGCGAAAGCUUGACGAUGCGACGCUGCGUGAGUGAUGAAGGCCUUCGGGUUGUAAAGCUCUUUCGCGCUGGAACAAGAGAGGGUGGUGAAUAGCCAUCUGAUUUGAGGGUACAGCGUAAAGAAGCACCGGCUAACUCCGUGCCAGCAGCUGCGGUAAUACGGAGGGUGCAAGCAUUAAUCGGAGUUAUUGGGCGUAAAGGGCGCGUAGGCGGAUAGAAAAGUCUGAUCUGAAAUACCGAGGCUCAACCUCGGUGCUGGAUUGGAAACUCUUUAUCUAGAGGGUUGGUGGAGAAAACGGAAUUCCAAGUGUAGCGGUGAAAUGCGUAGAUAUUUGGAAGAACACCUGUGGCGAAAGCGGUUUUCUAACUAACACCUGACGCUGAGGCGCGAGAGCAAGGGGAGCAAACAGG